Molecule: ribosomal RNA, 819 nt
Filed under: uncultured bacterium
Lineage: Bacteria
Description: bacterial SSU rRNA
Rfam family: Bacterial small subunit ribosomal RNA
Source: RNAcentral
CAGAACGAACGUUGGCGGCAUGGAUGAGGCAUGCAAGUCGCGGGAAUCCCCAGCAAUGGGGGGAACCGGCGUAAGGGGCAGUAAGGCGUAGGUACCUACCCCGUGGUCCGGGAUAGCCCGCCGAGAGGCGGGGUAAUACCGGAUGACCUCGGGAGAGCAAAGCUCCGGCGCCAUGGGCGGGGCCUACGUGAUAUUACCUAGUUGGCGGGGUAACGGCCCACCAAGGGGGAGAUGUCUAGUGGGUGUGAGAGCACGACCCGCGCCACUCGCACUGAGACACUGGCGAGACACCUACGGGUGGCUGCAGUCGAGGAUCUUCGGCAAUGGGGGCAACCCUGACCGAGCGAUGCCGCGUGGGCGACGAAGGCCUUCGGGUUGUAAAGCCCUGUCGAGGGGGAGAAAGCCCGGGUCACACCGGGUCGAUCUAGCCCUGGAGGAAGCUCGGGCUAAGUUCGUGCCAGCAGCCGCGGUAAGACGAACCGAGCGAACGUUGUUCGGAAUCACUGGGCUUAAAGGGCGCGUAGGCGGGCUGCCGCGUCCGGGGUGAAAUCCUCCGGCUCAACCGGAGAACGGCCCCGGGUACGGGCGGCCUCGAGGGGGGUAGGGGCGUGCGGAACUGUGGGUGGAGCGGUGAAAUGCGUUGAUAUCCACAGGAACUCCGGUGGCGAAGGCGGCACGCUGGACCCCUUCUGACGCUGAGGCGCGAAAGCCAGGGGAGCGAACGGGAUUAGAUACCCCGGUAGUCCUGGCCCUAAACGAUGAGAACUGGGUAGUAGCCCGGGCAUGGGGUUACUGCCGCAGCCAAAGUGCUAAGUUCUC